RNAcentral lists this ribosomal RNA (497 nucleotides) under uncultured bacterium. RNAcentral describes it as "partial 16S ribosomal RNA". It matches the Rfam family "Bacterial small subunit ribosomal RNA", at positions 28 to 507 of the family's 1533-position model. The record is from RNAcentral.
GAUGAACGCUGGCGGCGUGCCUAAUACAUGCAAGUCGAGCGAACAGAUGAGGAGCUUGCUCCUCUGACGUUAGCGGCGGACGGGUGAGUAACACGUGGAUAACCUACCUAUAAGACUGGGAUAACUUCGGGAAACCGGAGCUAAUACCGGAUAAUAUAUUGAACCGCAUGGUUCAAUAGUGAAAGACGGUUUUGCUGUCACUUAUAGAUGGAUCCGCGCCGCAUUAGCUAGUUGGUAAGGUAACGGCUUACCAAGGCGACGAUGCGUAGCCGACCUGAGAGGGUGAUCGGCUACACUGGAACUGAGACACGGUCCAGACUCCUACGGGAGGCAGCAGUAGGGAAUCUUCCGCAAUGGGCGAAAGCCUGACGGAGCAACGCCGCGUGAGUGAUGAAGGUCUUCGGAUCGUAAAACUCUGUUAUUAGGGAAGAACAAAUGUGUAAGUAACUAUGCACGUCUUGACGGUACCUAAUCAGAAAGCCACGGCUAACUACGUG